GGGGAAUUUUGGACAAUGGGCGCAAGCCCGAUCCAGCCAUGCCGCGUGUCUGAAGAAGGCCUUCGGGUUGUAAAGGACUUUUGUCAGGGAAGAAAAGGCUGUUGCUAAUAUCAGCGGCUGAUGACGGUACCUGAAGAAUAAGCACCGGCUAACUACGUGCCAGCAGCCGCGGUAAUACGUAGGGUGCGAGCGUUAAUCGGAAUUACUGGGCGUAAAGCGAGCGCAGACGGUUACUUAAGCAGGAUGUGAAAUCCCCGGGCUCAACCUGGGAACUGCGUUCUGAACUGGGUGACUAGAGUGUGUCAGAGGGAGGUAGAAUUCCACGUGUAGCAGUGAAAUGCGUAGAGAUGUGGAGGAAUACCGAUGGCGAAGGCAGCCUCCUGGGAUAAUACUGACGUUCAUGCUCGAAAGCGUGGGUAGCAAACAGGAUUAGAUACCCUGGUAGUCCACGCCCUAAACGAUGUCGAUUAGCUGUUGGGCAGCUUGACUGCUUAGUAGCGUAGCUAACGCGUGAAAUCGACCGCCUGGGGAGUACGGUCGCAAGAUUA
Molecule: ribosomal RNA, 548 nt
Filed under: uncultured bacterium
Lineage: Bacteria
Description: bacterial SSU rRNA
Rfam family: Bacterial small subunit ribosomal RNA
Source: RNAcentral